UGACGAUGAUGGUCGAGCCCGGAGGAGGCCC
RNAcentral lists this small RNA (31 nucleotides) under Bombyx mori (domestic silkworm). RNAcentral's name for it is "ovarian small RNA-31726". Lineage: Eukaryota; Metazoa; Arthropoda; Insecta; Lepidoptera; Bombycidae. The record is from RNAcentral.